Molecule: ribosomal RNA, 301 nt
Filed under: uncultured bacterium
Lineage: Bacteria
Description: partial 16S ribosomal RNA
Rfam family: Bacterial small subunit ribosomal RNA
Source: RNAcentral
CAGCCGCCACGGGAAUACGUAGGUGGCAAGCGUUGUCCGGAAUUAUUGGGCGUAAAGGGCUCGCAGGCGGUUUCUUAAGUCUGAUGUGAAAGCCCCCGGCUCAACCGGGGAGGGUCAUUGGAAACUGGGAAACUUGAGUGCAGAAGAGGAGAGUGGAAUUCCACGUGUAGCGGUGAAAUGCGUAGAGAUGUGGAGGAGCACCAGUGGCGAAGGCGACUCUCUGGUCUGUAACUGACGCUGAGGAGCGAAAGCGUGGGGAGCGAACAGGAUUAGAUACCCCCGUAGUCCCUGUCUCUUAUAA